This is a long non-coding RNA of Bos taurus (domestic cattle), 562 nucleotides long. NCBI's taxonomy places the organism in Eukaryota, Metazoa, Chordata, Mammalia, Artiodactyla, Bovidae. The record is from Ensembl.
AGGGCGGAAUCGCGCCUACGGAGAGCAACGCCUCUGUUAUCUAAUCGAGAACCAGAUUAACAGCCGAGGAGGAAAAAAAGGCAAGAAGGCAUUCUUCAGAUUGGAGGAAUCUUAACUCAACACCCCAGUCUCCUUGCCAGUGGCCAAGGACACUGGUUCUUUUCAAGGCACGUUUCUACCUCUGGACCACCUCAGCCCUUGGAUUUAUGCGGUCCCUAGAAAGGUCUAGAAAGUCAAAGGUCAGGAAGAGGCAUCCUGCGUCUGGUGAGGGAGCCUGUUCAGAGCCCUCAACGGGGACAAGGACACAAUGAAUUUCCAGCUGCUGAAACCAACUUCCAUUUGCUUUGAAUCAAAUGCCUGGGACUGGGGAGAAGGGGAUCUUUGGCGUGGAUGUUCGCACCCUUAAACAGAGCUCCUCCCUAGUUUGGGUCUUCGGUCUCCAUGAGGGCCUCCGCUUUCCACUCUUGAGCGGGAAAACGGACAAGAACCCUGAGCGUGGCCUGAGGUCUCAGUUUCACCGUCUGUAAAAUUGGAUUGGAGGUCCUGGGCCGAGGCCCUUGGG